This 514-nucleotide ribosomal RNA is filed under the name uncultured marine bacterium. RNAcentral's name for it is "bacterial SSU rRNA". It matches the Rfam family "Bacterial small subunit ribosomal RNA", at positions 371 to 903 of the family's 1533-position model. The record is from RNAcentral.
AUGGGCGCAAGCCUGAUCUAGCCAUGCCGCGUGAGUGAUGAAGGCCCUAGGGUCGUAAAGCUCUUUCGCCUGGGAAGAUAAUGACNGUACCUGGAGAAGAAACCCCGGCUAACUCCGUGCCAGCAGCCGCGGUAAUACGGAGGGGGUUAGCGUUGUUCGGAAUUACUGGGCGUAAAGCGCGCGUAGGCGGAUUGGAAAGUUGGGGGUGAAAUCCCGGGGCUCAACCCCGGAACUGCCUCUAAAACUACCGGUCUAGAGUUCGAGAGAGGUGAGUGGAAUUCCGAGUGUAGAGGUGAAAUUCGUAGAUAUUCGGAAGAACACCAGUGGCGAAGGCGGCUCACUGGCUCGAUACUGACGCUGAGGUGCGAAAGUGUGGGGAGCAAACAGGAUUAGAUACCCUGGUAGUCCACACCGUAAACGAUGAAUGCCAGUCGUCGGGUAGCAUGCUGUUCGGUGACACACCUAACGGAUUAAGCAUUCCGCCUGGGGAGUACGGUCGCAAGAUUAAAACUCA